Molecule: long non-coding RNA, 2452 nt
Organism: Gouania willdenowi (blunt-snouted clingfish)
Lineage: Eukaryota; Metazoa; Chordata; Actinopteri; Blenniiformes; Gobiesocidae
Source: Ensembl
AAAUAAUAUGACCAGAAUGCACACUUUGAUGUCCGAGGAGGAGCUCAAAGACAGUUUCACAAAACUCACACUAGAGACAAACAAAGUCAUUGAAGCUAAUGAUGAUGUCGAAGCCCAGUACAUGGCAGAAAAUGAAUCUGAGCGGAACGAAGAAGCGCUAGAUGAGGCGCAAAAAGCCGACUUAGAGAAAACUGCAACUGAGUGUGAAAAGAAACUAAAAGAGCUGAAAGACUUAAUUCAGAGUACAUUGUGGGCCAACUAUGGAGAAGAUGAGCUGACGCUGGCAGUGCAGACAGCAGAGACCGAGGCAGAACGUGUGAUGACCAUUGAACCCAGUGAAGACAAAGAAGCCUUUGAUUUCAUGGUUGAGCAUCUCAAGAGCAUGGUGGAGACUGCAAAGAAGUCACAAAUAAAGUGGAAAUGCUGGGCGCCCCCUGCAGAGCAUAAGGAGUUUCAUGGUCGAAUCAGAGAACUUGAGGUUAUCCUCCCCAAGCUCACAUCAAGGAAGGCAGACUUCAUUCGAGCAAAGGCCAGAAAAGAGUCAUCAAGAUUGAUGGAUGCAUCUUUGGUCAACUACUCAACCCCAAUCAUCAGACUAAAACCAGCAUCCCUGCCCAAAUUUACUGGAGUUAGACGUGAGUUCUAUCGCUGGAGGAGGGACUGGGAGUCACUCCAAGCUCAAGGUGAACCAUCGGGGUCAAGAGAAAUAAAGAAAUUCCAGCUCAUCGACAGCAUUGAUGAGAGAGUUAUAAAAGAUCUUCGUCUCUCAAGUCACAACACCGCAGAUGACAUAUUUCGUGUCAUGGAAAACCGUUUUGGUAACAAAACAAGUAUUGCUAUUGAGAUUGUGGAAGAAAUCCAAAGUACCCCGGUUAUUAGAUCUAAUCAACCAAAGAAAAUAAUUGAGCUCAUACAGACAGUUGAGAAAGCCCUCUCAGACCUGAGUGACCUUGAUGAAGUUGGUGCAAUAAAAAAUCCACUUGUCAUCAGGUCUAUUGAAAGUAAGCUCCCUGAUGUGCUAAAGAAGGAGUGGCUUCUUCAUGCAGCAGAAAAAGGCAAUGCCCUAACUCAAGCACGAAGGUUUGACUAUCUCCUCACUUUCCUUAAGAGCCAGGAAGUCAUUUAUGAACAGCUGGAUCAGUUAAGUGACGAGCCACCCAAGUCUAGGCCCGAACAAAGACAAGCCCGAACCAGGGCCUCAAACCAAGCCAGCAGCCAAUCAUUGGGAUGUGUGGUCUGUGGAGAAGGAGGGCAUAGAAGAAAGCUCUACUUCUGCAGAAAAUUCCGCGUGCUAAAGCUGUCUGAAAAGAAGGAUGCAGUGAGAAAGCUUGGAGGAUGCAAAAGAUGCCUUGAAGUUCAUUCAGAUUGUGAUGGCUGUUCCAAGACUGAGUUCAUCUGCAAAGAUCCAAGCUGCAAGGGAAGUUCUGGGCAUCACAUCUAUCUAUGUCCAAAUCGGGAGAAGGCUAAACAUGGAACAGUGGGAGGAGGCAACAACCGGAAGAGUUAUACAGAAGCUCAAGAAGAAUUUGUUCAAAAACUUCCUCCUGAACUUGCCCAACAGUGUCGACACGUCUUUUCUAACACUGCAUCAAGAAAUGUACAGAUCUCCAGUCGACGAAAUCUCCUGGAAGAAUACGGUAUAGCAGAAUGGCCAGUAAUCAUGAUGCUGCUUGAGGUCACUGCAAAUGCAGGUCAAAAGGUUGGAACCCUAAUUGACCUUGCGUCAGACACCAACUACAUCACACACAAAGCGGCAAAGCGCUUAAAGUUGAGAAGCGAAGCCAUUACUCUUGUUGUCCAUGGAGUUGGAGGUAUGGAGGUCACAGUAAAAACAAUGCGAUACCUCCUAAAGAUCCGUGUCCGUAAUGACAAAUCGACCUAUAACUCCCACCAGCUAGUCUGCUAUGGACUUGAUGAUAUCGCAGACAUCCACCAUCCUGUCACAGCCAAGCAACUCCAGAAGUUUUUCCCAGAUAUCCCCCUCUUUGAAUUACAAAGACCAAAAGAAGUAGACCUUCUAAUUAGUCACAAGGAAGGUAGACUGGCUCCUCAGAGGGUGAGCAUGGUGGGAGACCUUGUGCUAUGGGACGGCCCACUUGGGAAAACAGUUGCUGGCAGCCAUCCUGAGCUUUCUGAACAAACCACCAUUUCAGCUCAUGCAUCGCAAACCCACUUUGCAAGAUCAAUGAGGACAGCAGCUGUAAACUACAAAGAACUUACCCACUCCUCACCUACUAUCAAGCACUCAUACGCUACAACCACUGCUCAAGACUUCCUUAACUGGUGGAAGUGGGAUAGUAUCGGCGCUGCCUGCAAUCCAAAAUGUGGCGGUUGUCGGUGUGGAAACUGCCAACCUGGUGGUAAGGACAUGACCCUAGCAGAAGAGCGGGAAUUGGAGGUCGUAAAGAGUGGUUUGACCUAUAUCAGUGCUGAUGAACACAGUGAAAAUCCC